Long non-coding RNA from Humulus lupulus (European hop), 676 nucleotides. RefSeq lists it as uncharacterized. The transcript has 3 exons. Lineage: Eukaryota; Viridiplantae; Streptophyta; Magnoliopsida; Rosales; Cannabaceae. The record is from RefSeq and is a predicted model, not a curated record.
AUAAAAGAAAAAUAAAAAGGUAUUAUGAGAAAAUAAAAUAGAAAAAGGAAACUUACCAUUUUGUGUUGGUGGGGCUUUAUUGAGAGAGUUGAAUAAAGGGGGAAGGAAGAGAAGAAGAGGGCAUAUUUUCUUGUGGCUGCCGUGACCUAGAGAGAGAGAGAGAGAGAGAGAGAGUGGCGUGUAGAGAGAGAGGGAGAAGAAGAAAGAAAGGAAGAAAGAAGAAGAAGGUGAAGAGGAACCCAUUUUAGAUUUUCAAAUAAAACCCUAGGCUUGAACAAGGGGUGUGAAGUUUGGGAGUUGAUCAUAUUGUGUUCUUGAUUUUACAAUCAAGAGAGGUAGCAAAUAAGAUUUCUUUAUGGCACGCGUGGUGACGUGAGGAGUUCUAUCAUCAUGGGGUGUAUGGCGUGGGGUAAUCCUAUGGACGGAAAAACGAUCAUCGUAGAAUGCCAUUUAAAUUAUGUUUUGUUUAAGAGACUUUCCUAAAUUAUCAGUGGGACUUAGUUAUUUGAUUUUGUUUCUUUUAAACUUUGCAUAAAAAUUUAUGUUUUCUUUUAAAACUAAUGGCGCCAACUUGCAUGGUUUUAAGCAAGUCCCCACUGAGACUUUGAUAAUGAGUGGUAUUCUUUUACAAACUAUGUUAUGCGAAUGUUUUAUAAGUAUUAGCUUAGGGCGUUCA